Molecule: non-coding RNA, 1788 nt
Organism: Python bivittatus (Burmese python)
Lineage: Eukaryota; Metazoa; Chordata; Lepidosauria; Squamata; Pythonidae
Source: RefSeq, a predicted model, not a curated record
CUCCUCCUCCUCCUCCUCCUCCCCCCCCCGCCUCUUGAAUUAUUCAAACUGUCACUGGUGACUCGGAGGACAUUAGCAUGCAUCAGACAUGCUGUUUGUCUGUUUGCUAACAUUCUUCAUUCAAGACUUGUUAACUGCCAGACGAGCUUAACACGCUUCCCUCUCCUUCCCUUUCUCCUCUGGCGCUCCCUCUCAUGCCAGCCCGCUCUGCCUCGCCUAUUGUUAUGGCUGGGAGCUGGCAGCCGGGGGGGGGAGUGGGCAGCGGUGGGCAAGAGGUGGCAGGGGCUGAAGAGGCUGCGCCAGCCCUGCUGGGUCAGCACUGCCUCCCCACGCGCGCCAGGCCUGCGUGCGCUCGCAAAACGCCGGCGCGGUCCCGGCGGCUCUCGCCUCGCUUUCGCAGGAGACCGCAGCGCUGCGAGGCGGGCGAGCGGGCGGCCCCUCUCGGCUUCUCUCCCCGCGGCCGGGUCUUUCUUCCUCCUGGGUAAGGCUUGGUUUCUUCCUCUAAACGCUUCUGUCGGCUUCUGGUUUUGCUGGGCGGCGUUUCUCCUUGAGGACGAUGCCCGCGGGAGAGCGGAGGAGCAGAAGACCCCGCUCCAAGUCUGAGAGGGAAGUUUCGGCAAAUCGGAGGAGGGGAUCGAUAGAUUUCCUUGGGAUCCCGCGGCCACCUAACCCUCCCUCGCUUCCCCCCACAGGAAAAGGCGGCCGAGCCGGCUCUUAUUCUUAGCGUCGGGUCCAUCCCUCUGCCAACCUCGUUUCCAGCCAGCCAGCUUUCGCUUACGAAAAUGCCGCAAAGGUCAAUAACACGGUUUCAUUCCUGAGAGUUAGCGGCGACGCCGCGGCUAAUCCCGCUGUACCUGAAAUUGCCACGAAUCCUCUCCUCUCUUCUUUUUGUCUGCUUUUGUUUUGGCCACCGACCCUCCUCUGAUUCUCUCGCGGUGUAAACGCGCCGGGCAGCGGUCGAAGAAACGGCUUGAGCAAAGGACCUCUUGCCCAGAGACAUCAGAGUUUUUCCAUUUUUUUGAUGAUCAUCCCCAGGAACAAGACCAAGUUACAUCCUUGGCAGGAUCUCGUCUGGAGUCAGUCAAGAUUGCGGAUUCCGAGAUGCCUCGCCGAGAAUCUCGUCUUUUUCUUUCUCCACCAGAGCAUGGCCAAGAAGAUCAGAAGAAGACACCGUUCACCAAACUCAGGUUCUUAAAAUUAUGGGUCAUUAGAGCAAUUACUGGUUGGACCAGAGAUCAGAGAGUGUCCCUAGAUAGCCUUCGCUGGAGUAACGCUGCUUUGCAGCCCGGUUUGUAAUUUCGUAGCAGAAAAGUACAUCAAAUGCACGCAAACGUGCAUUGGGAAUCUAAACAGCAGGUGCCAGCCUAGGCGUCCAGUCGAAGCCUGAUAGCAUCAAAAAGACGUUGCAGCAUCAUGUUGGCAUCCUUGUGGCUUCCACCAGACACCUGUGCUAGCAUCUGCUUUUUAAGGUUGGAAUCUCUCUUCUGUUGGCCCAGAAUUGUUCAGGUCCCUUUCACAGGCUGAUGACAAGAUUUAAACUUUCAGGACUAAAAGUUCUCUGACAGUGAAUAAAUUUAAAGUUCAGAACAGUUCUGAGCCUCAAAUCGCCACAUCUUGGCUGGGUCUUCUGGAGUUGAUGGCUCGGCAACAUUGAGGACGACCUCUUUUCCAACCAGGCCCAAAGGUCACACUUGCAUAAAUUCUGCAAAUACACAUCCGUUGGUCCUCCUCACAGCCUCCCUGGCUGCUCACACCUCCUAUUCUGAAAAGCAAGGAGAAGAAUUCCUU